RNAcentral lists this ribosomal RNA (253 nucleotides) under uncultured bacterium. RNAcentral's name for it is "partial 16S ribosomal RNA". It matches the Rfam family "Bacterial small subunit ribosomal RNA", at positions 524 to 776 of the family's 1533-position model. The record is from RNAcentral.
UACGGAGGGUGCGAGCGUUAAUCGGAAUUACUGGGCGUAAAGGGUGCGUAGGUGGUUUGAUAAGUUAUCUGUGAAAGCCCUGGGCUUAACCUGGGAACUGCAGAUAAGACUGUUAGACUCGAGUAUGGGAGAGGGUAGUGGAAUUUCCGGUGGAGCGGUGAAAUGCGUAGAGAUCGGAAGGAACACCAGUGGCGAAGGAGGCUACCGGGCCUAAUACUGACACUGAUGCACGAAAGCGUGGGGAGCAAACAGG